This 548-nucleotide ribosomal RNA is filed under the name uncultured bacterium. Its description in RNAcentral is "bacterial SSU rRNA". It matches the Rfam family "Bacterial small subunit ribosomal RNA", at positions 355 to 895 of the family's 1533-position model. The record is from RNAcentral.
UAGGGAAUCUUCGGCAAUGGGGGCAACCCUGACCGAGCAACGCCGCGUGAGUGAAGAAGGUUUUCGGAUCGUAAAGCUCUGUUGUAAGAGAAGAACGAGUGUGAGAGUGGAAAGUUCACACUGUGACGGUAACUUACCAGAAAGGGACGGCUAACUACGUGCCAGCAGCCGCGGUAAUACGUAGGUCCCGAGCGUUAUCCGGAUUUAUUGGGCGUAAAGCGAGCGCAGGCGGUUAGAUAAGUCUGAAGUUAAAGGCUGUGGCUUAACCAUAGUACGCUUUGGAAACUGUUUAACUUGAGUGCAGAAGGGGAGAGUGGAAUUCCAUGUGUAGCGGUGAAAUGCGUAGAUAUAUGGAGGAACACCAGUGGCGAAAGCGGCUCUCUGGUCUGUAACUGACGCUGAGGCUCGAAAGCGUGGGGAGCAAACAGGAUUAGAUACCCUGGUAGUCCACGCCGUAACGAUGAGUGCUAGGUGUUGGGUCCUUUCCGGGACUCAGUGCCGCAGCUAACGCAUUAAGCACUCCGCCUGGGGAGUACGACCGCAAGGUU